Molecule: long non-coding RNA, 1643 nt
Filed under: Prunus persica (peach)
Lineage: Eukaryota; Viridiplantae; Streptophyta; Magnoliopsida; Rosales; Rosaceae
Description: long non-coding RNA (PPER_LNC002779)
Source: RNAcentral
UAAUUUAAAAAACCUCUCGCAGGCGCGGAAGCGCGUGCAGAGAGGCUAGUAUUAAAUAAAAUAUCUGUUUUACCCAGAUAUUCUUUCGACCAUUAUAAUUUUUACAAUAAAUCCCAGCAAGCACGCAAAGGGUGGGAAGAAAUAUCCCAUAAACUUUGGCGUCGACCACACGAGCCUAAAUCAUGGGCCUAAAUUGCAACAUAAUACACGGAGAAACGAGGAAAAUAAGAAAAGAGACAAUCUAGGCCUAGGCCUAGCCAUCCACAUUUUCUUCCAUUUCCUUUCCUGAGGUCUAAAUCCAAAGAAAAAGUCAUGGAAAUUACCUUAAGCUAGAGCUAGGCGCUAACAUAAGCACUGAGAGCAUCACCAGUGAGCCUGCAAAUCCUCCACUCCUGCACCAUCUUAGCUCCCAUUUCCUCAUAAAACCUGAUGGCAUUCACAUUCCAGUCAAGCACACAAGCCAAUCCAAUUUCCCAUUCCCCAUCUUCACAGCCUGCUUAGCCACAGAUGAAAGCAGCAUCUUCCCAAGCCCUUUCCUCCUAUAGCACUGCCUCACAAACAGGUCCUCUAUGUAAAACCCAGGCUUCGCCAGUUCCGCAGAGGGUAGGAAGAAAUAUCCCAUAGACUUCUUUGACGUCGGCAACACGAGCCAAAAUAAUAAAAAGGGCUAAAAAGGGAGGGGGCGGUGGGAGAGAGUCUCUCUUCUCUUUCCGGUGAUCAAAGUUCGGGCCCCUCUUCUUUUUUUUCCCUUUUUCUGGAAUGAAGUUUGGGUCUUUUCACUUACUUUGAUCCUCACGAAAGAAGAAGAGAAUUCUCAAGAACGUUCUAGCUACUAAUAAAGGAAUAUUAGAAGUCCAAAUAUGAGAAUUUUCAUUUAAUGGCUCGACUUAUGGCAAAAAGGCAAAAUCAACAACAACAAAAAACCACACAGAAACGAAAGAGCAAAGCAAUUAAAAAACACAGUAGAACAAAUCAAACAACAAUGGCAUACAGCAGAAGAUUUCAGAGAUGCAAAAGGUGUAGCUGUGACAUUGCUAGGAGAAACAACAAAGGUUCUACAAGACUGCCUCCUCAGUCAUAAUCUUCCUAGCCCACACACACAUUUCCAUCUCAACCCAGAAACAAACAGACAAGAAGAAAAAAGAAAAUACACAAGAAGGAACAAUCUAAGGCGGGGCUAGCCUUCAACAUUUUCUUCCAUUUCAUUUCAUUUCCUGAAUUCUAAAUCCAACGAAAAAGGUAUGGAAAUUACCUAAGCUAGAGCUAGAGCUGGGCAUUAACAUAAGCAUUAAGAGCAUCACCAGUGAGCCUGCAAAUCCUCCACUCCUGCAAGAUCUUGGCACCCAUUUCCUCAUAAAACCUGAUAGCAUUCACGUUCCAGUCAAGCACAACCCACUCCACUCUCCCAUACCCCAUCUUCACAGCCUGCUUAGCCACAGCUGAAAGGAGCAUCUUCCCAAGCCCUUUCCUCCUGUAGCACUCCCUCACAAACAGGUCCUCUAUGUAAAACCCAGGCUUCGCCAGAAAAGUCGAGUAGUUUGGAAAAAACAACACGAACCCAGCAACGCAGGCAUCGCCGCCAAGAACCCCACCGUUGGAUCUGAACAAAUCGCGGUCUGGGUCGUUAAUCGGAAGGUCCAGAU